GACGAACGCUGGCGGCGUGCUUAACACAUGCAAGUCGAACGGAAAGGCCCUGCUUUUGUGGGGUGCUCGAGUGGCGAACGGGUGAGUAACACGUGAGUAACCUGCCCUUGACUUUGGGAUAACUUCAGGAAACUGGGGCUAAUACCGGAUAGGAGCUCCUGCUGCAUGGUGGGGGUUGGAAAGUUUCGGCGGUUGGGGAUGGACUCGCGGCUUAUCAGCUUGUUGGUGGGGUAGUGGCUUACCAAGGCUUUGACGGGUAGCCGGCCUGAGAGGGUGACCGGCCACAUUGGGACUGAGAUACGGCCCAGACUCCUACGGGAGGCAGCAGUGGGGAAUAUUGCACAAUGGGCGGAAGCCUGAUGCAGCAACGCCGCGUGCGGGAUAACGGCCUUCGGGUUGUAAACCGCUUUCGCCUGUGACGAAGCGUGAGUGACGAUAAUGGGUAAAGAAGCACCGGCUAACUACGUG
This 468-nucleotide ribosomal RNA is filed under the name uncultured bacterium. Its description in RNAcentral is "partial 16S ribosomal RNA". It matches the Rfam family "Bacterial small subunit ribosomal RNA", at positions 28 to 507 of the family's 1533-position model. The record is from RNAcentral.